Molecule: long non-coding RNA, 288 nt
Filed under: Sorghum bicolor (sorghum)
Lineage: Eukaryota; Viridiplantae; Streptophyta; Magnoliopsida; Poales; Poaceae
Description: long non-coding RNA (SBIC_LNC017985)
Source: RNAcentral
AGACGUUUAGGAGGAGCGGCUGUCCUUUUUGACUUGCGUUGAGCAAUAGGCAAUUCCUCCUCUGGCUGCAAAAUAGGAGUAGUUUGCUGAACAUCAUCAUGAGCAUCAUCAGCAACAUCAUUAGCAUGGUCAUCAUGCUCAUCAACAGGCUCCACCUGCACACUUGUUUCAUCAUCAACAUGCUCCACCUGCAUGCGCAUACGCUACAACUCUUUUUCUGGAACAUGAUCUGAGGUUAAACUAUUAGUAAACAUCACAGAUUCAUUGAAUACAACAUUUCUCCUCAUA